GAAGGCAUUGAAGAUUAAUAGGAGAAGUCAUGUAUCUCAACACCUUUGGACUCUGCCCAUUAUCCAUUGGAGAAUAAUAAAAGAAACUCUUGUAUCUCAAACCUCUGAAUCUUGCCCAAAAACCACAGGAGAAGAACGAUAUAAUCCAACCAAUGAUAUGCAUGGGAAAUCAUAUGAGAAACCAAUGCUAUUAGAACCUUGAGAAGUGCGAGACAAACUAAUUACAAAAUUCAUAGUAAUCCGCUCUUACUUCCGCUGUGGGAUAGGUAGCUUCUAAAGAAAUCCACGUGAUCUCAAGUUCUAGGACUCCACCUACUGACAACACAAACAUCGAGAUCUGAAUUCCUCUUUGUCCCUUUUCAUUCCACACCACCAGCAAUGCUGUCUCAGAUCUCUACAUCUUAUAUGCACCAGGAUGAAUGGAAUAUCUAGAGCGAGUCUUUUGCAAUAUCAACAAAAUCAAAUCACCAAUCCUCAAAUAUCAAGACACCCUCUGGGUCCAAGGUAAUCUUUCUAUCCUCAUCCCUCGAUAUCCGAUUUCUAAUGCCAGACAUUCUACUUUCCUCAAAAUGCCGCCCUGAAUCUAUUCCAACAAAUAAGAAUUAGCCUCAACAUGGGAAAGAAUCCUCCUAGAAUAAAAAAUAUCAAGUUUAACCAACCUUUUGCUAUAGGUGGAUGUCUAAGGAUACUUGUCGACUAAAAGGAAAACCAAAAUCCCCAUACUCACCACUACUAGAAAUUAAAUUUUUUUCGAUAGCUAAUGCAGUCGAAAAAUAAGACAUUUUUGAUGACAUUCCAACUGUUUUAGGGUAGGCGGAAUAAGAGUUUGUCGAAAAAAUAUUUUCGACUACGGCAAUCGCAAAAUGUAAAUUAUAGAAUGACCAAAUAAAAAAUAAUAUUAUGACUAGUGUAGUCGUAAGAUUAAUAAAAUAAUUAAAAAUAAUUACGUAAUAAUUAUAAAUAUUCAGACUACAGUAGUCGAAAGAUUAAUAAAUAAUUAUAGAUAAAAUAUUUUCCACUACUGUGGUUGGAAACUAAUAAUGUAAUUAUUUAAUAAAUAAAAUCUUCGACUACGGUGGUCUGAAAUUAAUAAAAUAGUUCGUUCAAAUUAUUCCGAUAGGUGUCACUUAACUUUUUCUCAAAAAAGCUUUUACUAUUCUGACCAUUGUAGUCGAUUUUUUUUUUUUGUUUUGCCAGCAAUGGUGCUCUUUUUUUUUUUUUUUUUUAGCUUUCACUGCUCUCAUAUUACAAACAAUAGCAACAUAUCAAAUGUAUUUUUCAUAGUAGGAUCUAAAAAUUAUGAACACAACCUAAAAAAAUUCAACCACUUUGAAACAUCCAAAACAGACAUCAAGUCAAAUAGUUUAAACAUUCUAAAACAAGUUUAGGACCAAAUGUCACAAUCCAAAACAAAUAUCGAGUCGAAUAGUUUAAACAUCCCAAGAGAACUGUAAGUUUAAACGUCACAAUCAAAAACAAGAACCAACAACUACAAUCUAAUUAUCAUCAAAUUCACUAUACCAACAGCUACAAUCUAAUUAUCUUCAAAUUCACUAUCUUCCUCAUCAUCAAAUACUUGAGGCAUGUGCUUCUUGACUAACUCCUUAAAUUUAGCAAAUUUGACAAACUUAGCAUUAUUAACUGCACAUUGUUGCGUCAAAUCUUUAAUUUGCUUUGUCAUCGCUUCUAUUUCUUUCAUAUUUUGUGAAGUAGAAAAGGAGCUAGGAAACAAUGGGGAAGGACUAUUUGAGGAUUGGUGAACUCCAAGCCCAUAGGUUCUACCUUUAUUUGGACCACCAACCACAACUGUUCAUAUUUUAGUCAUAUCUGCAAGUGAUGGUUGGACCACGAUACCAUCCUCUGAAGUAGGUUGAGUUUGACGCCAAUCUUCCUUGCCUUAUUGAAAUCCUUCCAAAAAGAAAAAUAAUUGUCAUUAUGUAAACAAGCUAAAUUGAAUAAUGAGAAAUCAACAUAUGUAAAAUUAUUAUUUUACAAUGUAUUCUUAGCACGCGUUUCGAUCCAAUCUUCUCUUGUACCAUCCUUCUUUUUCUUCUUAUGCGUCUCUUCGAAGAUCUAAGAGGUACAUCUUUUCCCCCAUCUUGUGGAAAAAAAAAUGAUUUCCUGAGGCGGAAAAAAAGAUAUCAAAUUUCUACCAAGAUAACUGGAAGUUCCAACUAAUAAGAAGCCUAAUGAACCUAAAAAAAGGAUAAAGGCGCAGCAGAAAUUACUUAUUUUUCGACACCCCGUUAUAAGUUCUAUAUGUUCUGAUCGCCAAGUCAUACUUAAGUAUUAUUGCAAAAUUUAAGAAAAGAGAUACCACAGUUAUCAAAUCUUUGAAGAGAUUAGAGUCUUUUAACUAUAGCAAAGAAACACCUUGUUGAAGCUACUGGAAUAUGAUGCAGAUUCACAUCUCAAGGCAGAGGUGCAAAUUCACUUUAGAAAUAAAACAAAUAAGAGCCACAUAAUAUGUCAAACAAUAUUACCAAUCUUCAUCGGUGGAUAACAAAACUCAUCGAACCUCCAGUGUGCAACGAGCCACCCAUUUUAGAGGCUCGAUUUGCCUUUGCCCGUUCACGCUUCCCUUUAUAUUAGGAAUGUCUCAUAUUUCCAAGAACAUUACCCAAACUUUCUUCGCAAUCCAAUCAGGUCUUCUCAUUUUCUUCCGGGCCUCAUACAAGUGUUCUUUGAUCCGUAGAGAUGCUUUCAAUUGGAAAAUGACAUCUAUUUUAUUUUCAUGACAAGACUUCGAUGCACACUUCGCCUGCAAAAUAGUUUAAUAUAAAGUCAUGAAAUGAGUCAAUGGAUACAAAGGAAAAACUACUUAAUCAUCCACAAUAAGCACACCAUAGUACAUGAACUUGAAAAUAUAAGUGAGCAAUAUGUAUAAUUAAGCAUAAACUACGAGUAAUAGAUUAUUAAUAUAAAAGUAUUGAAAUUCAACGAGGAAAUAACUUGAACCUAGAUGAGCAACACCACCAAAGUUAUUUCCAGCAAGGUGUGCCAUAAGUAUUUGAAGAAUUUUUGGACUAAUUAAUCAGAUUUAACCAAAAAAUCCCACAACAAUCAUAAUACACCAAAGUUAUAGUAAAAAAAAUGCAAAUAUCAACUCUAAAUCCCCAAAAAUGUUCAACUGUUCUUCCUCUUCUCCAACAAACUCCCCUAAAACACAAAGUUAUUACCCCCUCUAAAAAAAUUGGGCACAAACACCUGCUAUAUGUAUAUGAAAACCCCUUUACAGUUAACAUGAGACCAUACAAACUGAAAGAUAUAAAAAGCAUAACAUUAACCCCUAAUUAGAUCCCAAAAUUGAUAUUCUAUAGCUCAACACAAAUCCCUUUGGUAUAUUCUGAUUGAUUAUUCUGAUAUUUGUCAGUUGGAUCUAGUAAAUUUUUCCGGGAUUUCUUCAAAUACUUAUGACACACCUUGCUGGAAAUAUAUCCAACUUGUAAUAUAGUCAUAAUUGUAAGGUUAUUUAUAAUUUUGAGUUUCUUUUGUAUAAUGAAACGUACUACCUUUCCUGCACUUCACUGCUGGUUCUUGAUAAACCACAUCAACUUCACAUAAUCGCACAAUAACAAACUGACUUAUAUCAAGACAAACCCAAGUUUCCAAGCAAUCAACAGAAUGAGAAAAUAAACACCAAAUUCCAAGAACCCCAAACAACAAAAUUUCCCAUUUUUUUGGGAUUUGGUAAAAACAAUAAGUCUUAUCAUACCAGAAAAGAUAGGGUUUAGGGUUUAGGGUUUAGGGUUUAGGGUUUAGGGUUUAGGGUGUGCCAAAGUACAAAAGGUUUUUUCACUUCAUAUUUUACAUUGAACUACAUAGCACAAUAAUAAAUAUCACCAACUAGUUUAAAGGAAUUAACACUAGUUUGUAAAUCUGAAUAUCUUCCAUAGGUUUUUUGAAAUAUAAUAUAUCAAUUCUACUUAGAGACUCAGUGUGCUGAUUUUUUGUGUAGCUCAUAUGUACCAGUACUGCUCCAUUUUGAAUCUAAAUAAUUGAACAUAAGCCUAUCCCAUAAUUCUAAAGUGGACGAGUUCUAACCUCACAGAUAUUUCCUUAACACGUAAAGAUUAAUUUCAAGUCUGGAAUAACAAAUUAAGUAAAAUUAUCCAAUUCCAGUCAUCAUUAGCACAAGAACAAUAUUAUAAUAAAUCAAAUCUAGUCAUCAUUAGCACAAGAACAAUAUGGAUACACACAUACUACAUAAAGAAGAAAGAUUUGGCAACUAUGGAGGCGCCUAAACAAGCUUCUUGGAUGAUAAGAAAAAUUCUAGAUAUGAGGAAACAUUUGCCUAUUUUAAAUGCCAACCAACAAAUCUUUAACAAAGGUAAAUUGUCAUACCUUAGCUCGAAGGGCAUCUAACUUGUAGACAUCACAAUAAUCCACAUGUGUUAAAAGUACUUCAAGGCUGAGAAAAAGAUAGUACACAUGAUGUUUGCUCACAAGAGCUGCCUAACUGAGAGUCCAUGUAUUAUAUUGUGUAAUAUGAAUAGGGGUAAUAGUCCAAUUCAACAUGAUUCAGAAAAAUCUUAAGAUAAAAAAUCAAAAUUGUACAAAUACGUGGGAAGAAAAUGUUACAUGCACUCCUAGACAACUAGUUACUGAUAUUAUUGGGAAGGAGAAACCGCUAAAACUCUUAAGAAAGCUCUUGGUCAGACCAACAAGAAUAAAAGAGAUACUGGAAAAAUAAGGCAAGAAAAAGAGAAAAAGAAGUCUACUGGUUUUGUUCUAUUGACUAAAUAAGAUAGUUUAAAUAUUCCUCCCUCCCCCACCCAGCUUGGAUCAGCCAGCAAAUGUCUAAUGUAAUCUCAACAUAAUUCAUACUAGUUCCAGCACAGUUUAUGUAGACUUGAAUGAUGAAUACAGAGUUGUCAACUCCGAAGAUGAAUUUGAGAAAUACAAACAACUUAUAAUGGAAGGGGAGGUAGAAGAAGAGCUCAAUGAAUACUUGAUCAAAGCAUUUGGUUCCACAUAUAAUAGUGAAUUACAAGAGAAGGUGAAACAAGUGUAUAAUCAACAAGGGUUAUCACUCAAAGACGAAUCAUGAAAGGAUCACAAAUCAAUAAAAGGCUAAUGAUUAGUACUUUCAUUUGGAAUGCCAGGAGUAUCAACACCAAAGGAGCCUUGGAAAGAAUCUAAAACCUUGUCAAACAAAAAACUAAAGUUCACAAAGGAAGAGAAGAAUAUUAAUGAAGAGGUCUUAAAUUGCAUUACAAGAAUAGUUGCAAAGGAUUAGAAUAUACCGUAAACUGAUUCCACAUUAGAAUUUUUAUUUUGUAUGGAAUCUUAUUCCAACUACCCCACAUCUCUUUAAAAAUGGUUUAGUUAAUUCUGUAACCAUAUGCCCGAAGCUAUAUGUGGGAAUGAACUUGCAAUAAAACUAUAUUAAACCAUCUUAGCUUUCAAAUUUUAAAAAUGAAGGAAAAACAUAAGGGUUGCUUACCCAUCACCACCAGUGACAAUAAUUAGCCUCCCAAAAUUGUCAUAUUCUAAUACCUCUUUAAAUUUCAGAUUCUGGGAGGCAGCUGCUGUAGCAUUAGACGCUGUAGCACUAUUAAUAAAGGGAGAUGAUGUGCUAGGACCUUUAAUUCUCAAUACAGAAAGGCUAAGUGUGGAUGAUGUAGAAGGCACAAAUAAAGAGCUACUAUGCAGACUAUUAUGAGGAGAAGUGAUGUGGAACUGGUCAGAUGGUAGCGGCAUAAAAAUGCAUUUGGUAGUGAAAUAGUUGACUAGGAGGAGGAGGAAAAUUUGCAGUAUCUGGUGGAGAAGUUGUGGUAAUAGGUGGUGGUGGUGGUGUAUAUUGACCUGCAGGAGGAUUAUCAGGUCCUUUCUUACUUUUCUUACGUUGUCCAUUACCAUUACCCUUUUGCGCCAUUAAUUUUUUUUACUAACCACCUGAAGAAGAAAGAACAACCAAAUUAGAAAACAACCUAUUUUUCAUAAAAGUAAAUUUCAACAUACAAAUCAGUUAUGUAAUGAAUGAUAGAAAAUAAUUACUUUGUGCUUGUAAGGGACAACAACUAAGAUUUCUCAACCAUUAUCAAUUAAAACAUUUAUGUUUUUCCAUCAUUUCAGAAAUCUUAAAAUAAUGGAUGAAUUAAUAUAGUUAAGUAGUACCGAUUAAACAAAACAGACAACACAUAUAUACUACAAAAAUUCACCACUGCUAUUUAAUCAAACAACUAUCAAUGUUCUUACCGCCACUACAAAUGUUAACAGAAAAAAGACACUAUAUUGUCAAGUAAAAUAGCAGAAAGUACAAACUAAAAUACAAUUUAAGACCCUGUUGCUACACAUUACUACUAUUAAUAGCAUUUCAAUCCUCAUUGCUUGAUUCAUAGUCAUUCAUUAAUUCUUCGUCAUCGCUUGAUUCAUAGUCAUUCAUCAAUUCUUCCUCAUCACUUGUUUCAUUUUCAUCAAGUAACUAUUCCUCACUUGUAUCAUUUUUAUCGAGUGACUCUUCCUCGCUUAUUUUAUUUUCAUUAGUUGGAUCUUGUCUUUUGCCCCGAAUGUUCCUUCUCCAUAAUCAUUAACAUUCAAUCUAAGUUCAGAAGGAUCAAAUUUUUCAUAUAGGCCUUUACUAUGCUGCAACUCACUUGCUAAUUCAUCAUCCACCCUUUCUUCAACACUUGAAAUGUCAUUCUGAUACGCUACAUCCAAUGUAUCCUCUACAUCAACUCUACCCACCAGCUUUGUUUUUAUAACUACCCACCUUGCAGAUUUUUUCUUACACAAAGGAUAAGGAGCAUAAUACACUUGUUUCACAUUUUAUGUAAUGACAAAUAAAUCAUAGAGUUCAUACUCCCUUGUAUGCUUAAUUUCAAUAAUUUUGUAUUGAAGGUGCACCUUUGUACCUAACCUAGCAUAGAAUCGUACCACUUAUACCAACAGAGUACCAACUUCUUUUUUGGCCAACCAACAUGAUAAUCGAGUUCUAAAAUCUCAAGAAGCAUACAGUAAUAAUCAUCACCACCAUCACCUUUAACCCACACCUUACUAUUGUUUGUUUUCUUUCCCUUAAAGAACUCUUCCGUAUGAAAUUUGUACCCAUUGACAGAGUACCUAGAAAAAUUUAUGACUUUAUCAUUAGGUCCCUAAGCUAUAUGAUGUAAGAAUUGGUCAUUUGGGUCAUAAUUAACUGAAUUAUGAACCUAUAAAAAGUUCAAACAAAGUUAGAACUUAAAUAUACAUAAAACUGAAUAAAAGUGUAAAUUGUGUUAAAUAUUAAAGUUACACUUACAUUUUCACUAAACCACACUGAAAACAUAGGAUAAACAGCAGCAUGCCCAUGCAAAGCCACAAAGUAGUUGUUCGACAAAGUUAUGACUUUCAUUAGUUAAAACUUAGAUAGACCUUGAAUGAUUGCUGCUAAUAUAAAGAUACUCACUUAUAAAAAGGUAGGACCUCAGGGAAAUUUAAUAAUACAUGUGUUGUAGCUGACUUAAACUCCACCUCAUUCAAAUAUUAAGCUGGACCAAGUUUCGGACUUCCUUUACCUGGUUGAUUGAAUAUUAAAAAUGGUGGUGCUGAAAGAUCUGUAUUGUGUCCAUCAUCAUGCCUAUUACGUCUGUUUCUUAGACAUGACACAUCAUGUUCGAAAUAAUAUGAACAAAAAUUAGAGGUAUCUUUAGCCAAAUAAACCUUACAUAUUGACCCCUCAAUACAUUUGCCAAUGGUCCUGUAUAGUAUGAUCUUUUAGAUGAACUUAUAUACAUCCAUCUACACUGAAAAAGCCCUCCAAGUCGUGCCUCUCGCACAAGGUGAAUUGGAUAAUGCUUUAUAACAUCAAGAAAACCAAGAGGAAAAUUUUUUGCCAACUUGUUUAAGGUUAAGUGAAUAUUGAUAUCAAUCAAAGAUAGGUUAUCCUCCCUUAAUGUGUUAGAACACAAAUCUUUGAAAAAUAAGCUUAUCUCUGUUAUGGGUUCUAUAUUUUAUUGGGCUAUGCACUAAAUGCAAUAGGCAUUACUGACUCCAUGAAAAUGUGACAGUGAUGGAUCUUCAUAGACGUCAACUAACCUUUUUUCAUGUCAACACACCUGGAUAAAUUUGACGCAUAUCUAUCUGGCAUUCUCAAAUUCUUAACCUAAUCACAAAUCGCUCUUCUAUCAUCUAAAAUGAAUGUGUAACUAGCCUUGAGAUUCUAAACCUUAUUGUUUAACUAUGUCGGGCACAACUCGCCAAUAAUACUCCUUUAAGUCCAUCCUGGCCUUCAAGUUAUCUUUUGUUUUGUUACUUACAUCCAUCACAGUAUUAAAUAAGUUGUCAAAAAAGUCUUUUUCAAUAUGUAUGACAUCCAGAUUUUGAGGCAGAAGAUUAUGCUUUCAGUAAUCUAACUCCCAAAAUAUGCUUCAUUUGGUCCAAUUAUGUGUAACACUAUCCUGGAUGGUGGAGACUCUGUUACCUCUAGCAGAUUCCUCACUCUAUCCCAAAUUUUUUCUCGCGACAAGAUUGGUGGUGGCUUCUCAAAAUCAGACUUAUUCUUUAUAAAAUCACUAGUAUUUCUCCUAAACUCAUGUUGCAUCGGCAAGAAUUGACGGUGACAGUCAAACCACGAGUUUUGACCCUCAUUUUUCAAAGUGAAUGCUUUUGUGUCUUCCAUACUACAAGGACAAGCUAACUUUCCCACAGUCGACCACCUAGACAAUAUUUCAUAAGCAGAAAAGUCAUUUAUAGUCCACAUCAAAGCAUCACAUAAUCUAAAGUUUUGUUUGAUUGGUACAUCAUAUGCUUCCACACCUUCGUGCCAUAAUAAGUUCAACUCAUUAAUUAGUGGUUGCAUAUAUACAUCAAUUAAACAUUUUGAUUACAAGGACCUAGAAUAAUGUAAGUUAGAAAUAUACAUGGAUUUGUCAUACAUAACUCAGGUGGGAGAUUAUGAACAGUCAUAAAUACUGGCCAACAUGAAUAUCGUGUCACUAAGACAGAAAAUGGAGUGAAUCCAUCAAUAGAUAACCCCAACCUAAUGUUUCUUGGCUCACUAGAAAAAUCUAGAUACACACUAUCAAAAUGCUUCUAUUCUUCUCCAUCUGAUGGAUGACAUAAAACACCAGGUGGUCUUUUAUGUUCAUAGUGCCAUCUUAUAUGAGGGGCAGAGCUCAUUGACGUAUACAACCUCUUUAACCAUGGUAUAAGGGCUAAGUAGUGCAUCGACUUUAUUGGAAUCUUCUUCCCUUUGUCAUUAUUCACUUCCUUAUAAUGAGGUUGGUUAAAAAAUUUACAAUGUUCUAAAUCUGCAUCUUCCUUAUAGAAUAACAUGCAACCUUUCCCGCAAUAGUGAAUCCUCGCUGAUAAAAGUCCUAACUUAGAAAACAACUUCUUUGUUGUGUAGAAAUCUUUGGGUAAGUCAAAUUUAUUUGUAUUAAGCUCAUUCAUAAGUUCAAUGCUAGAAUACAUGCCCUCUUGAGAAAUAGAAUAAUCUGACUUAAUUCUUAGUAACCUAACUGCAACAGAUAACUUGGAAUGCAUUGACCCUUCAUACAGUGGAUGACUAGCCUCCUUUCACUUUUCAUAAAAGUGGUUAGCCUUAUAAUUUGGUUCAUUUUGAGACCAUGAGUUUUUCCCAAACACAUCCCUAACCAUCUCACUAUAUUGAGAACUUUUGACAUUAUUCUUUCUUAUGGGGCUUCUCUCACCACCAAAUGAAUUCUAAAAAGCAAAAUUAUUAGCAGCAAUACUCUCUCCAUGGGCGAUCCACACAGUAUACUUCAACAUAAAUUCAUUCUUUUAAAGAUGUAACUUAACAAAAUUUGGACUCAAUAACUUGGAACACUUUUAUUUCAGACAAGGACACCUAAUUGUCCGUUCAAUAAGAAAAUCAUCAAGGGUCAUUGCUUUAGAAAUAAAUCCAGCUACCCCAUCUUUAUAUUCCUCCCUCGACCCUGUACGGUUAAGAUAUGUUCUAUUGUACAUCCAUGUGCGAUCUGCAUUUUCCAUCUACACAAGAAUGACAACAAUAACAGUAAAAAAGAGAAACAAAAGCAGGAGAACCAAAACAAUGAAAAUAGGAUUAAAAACACCAACAAUAGUUAUAGUAAUAGUGAACACGGGACAAUGAACAGAUCAUGUCAACAUUUGCUACUUGUUGGUUUAAGAAAAUACAUGUCCAGAAUUUUUAUAGUAGUUGAAAACAGAUCUUUAAGAGUGCUAGUCUUCCAAAAACUAGAGAAAGAGUAGGUGGUUUUCAAAGAAAUAACAUGGUAAGGUUUUUCUAGUUAACAAAAAUUUAUGGACAAUACCUGCGAAAUCAUAAACAAUACCACCAAGUAUAAUCCAAGUACAUUACUACAACUCAACUCAAUAAAUUUUCACUUUCUGAAAUGUAAAUCAUAAUACACUCAUUGAAGAUACAUUUUGCUUUUAAUAGACGUGUCUACCCUCCGGUAUUCAUUUCUGGAAGCAUAAGAAAUGAACAAAGCGGAGGCAAUGCACUCCUAAUAGAAAUAGUACUUGGGCAAGGAAAGCAAAUUCCUAUGUGAGUUACAUUGAAUAAGACAAAGUAAAAAACUACAAAAACAGAGCGCAACUCAGAUAUCUCAGGUGUCCUUCAUCUUCAACCUGAAAGACAAAGAUAAAGCAAAAGAUUUACUAUACUUAAAUUGCACAUGUGACUAAUUUGGUUUGUUACCAGUUUGUUUAAAUCUUUAUACCUGUAAUACCUACUUAUUUGUAUCUCAACUAAUCAUUUGAUAAACCCGUGUAUGAAAAGUGGGGCAGAUGAACUAUUAUAAACUUCAUCAUACAGAUAAAUUUGCACUAAAACUUUGACAACCCAACCAUGCCUUUGGAACUAAUUCCAUUUUCUUACCAAUAUUAAUGCACAUAACAAAUAUUUUAUAAACAUUUGCAUUACAAAAUAAAGCAAAUUUAACAAUCUAUUUAGCAUAACUGUUCACACAAACAAAAAGCCAAUAUAGAACUAAAUGAUAUACACAUAACCAAAUCCAUUUCCUCUCCAUUACUUUUAGUUUCGAAUCACAACAGUGAUUCAAACCAGCUUGAUCACACCCCAACUAAUCAUUUGAUAAACCUACCCACCAAAAAUUGGGGCAGAUGAACUAACAUUAAGCUUAUUAGAUGGAAUUUCUCCUACAUCUCAACCAUACCUUUGGCACUACUUCCUCUACAACAUUAAAAUACAUAGCAAAUCUCAUCGGAACACUAAAGUUAUGAAAUAAAAUAAGUCUAACCAUCUUUUUGACAUUACACUUCACAAAAUCAGAAUACUAGUACAGAACAAAAGAAUAUAAGAGCAUGAAUAAAAUAGAGCAUUUCAAUGUUAACAUUGUGCCAAGAGUGUGCCUCUCUGGCUAUGCUCAAUACGGCAACAACUACCAUUACUACAUCUCAACCUUAAGCAAUUGGUUGGGGUCAACUAUGUAUAUAUGACAUGACCAUGUUGCUUCAUUUAGCAUAGGCAAAGUUAUAUGUAAUCUUGAAUUUGGAUUCGCAAUAGUCGCAAACACCGAGAAAAAAAGAAGGUUUUGCAUGACUGUUAAUCUGCGAAACAGUUAGCAACCUAGAAAAAAACCAAGUGAACUGAAACAUAAAUCAAGUGUAAAAUUAUUGUGAAUAUAAUUAGAAGAGUGAGCUAGUAUCUCAGUAUCUUUGCAUGACAAUUAAUUUAGAAACAGUUAGCAACCUAGAAAAAGCCAAGUGAACUGAAACAUAAUUCAAGUGUAAAGUUGUUGUGAAUCUAAUUAGAAGAGUGAGCUAGUAUCUCCGUAUCUUUGAGUAAUAGGCAAUACAGAAGCAUCAACACUAUAGUUUAGCUUUAUCUAGCUUGUUUUCACCUUGACCAGAAUAUUAAUUACUUUCUGGAAUUGAUGCUUUCAAAGUAAGAGAGUAGCUAGUUUAGCAAAUUGCCAAAGCAUUUACCGAGCAAGAGUAGAUAUCGUAAAAAUAAACAAAACAAUUCUCUUGAUAUGUAGCUAGUUUUGCUAUCAAGAAUGCUAUUUUUGCACAUUUCCAAUGAGUUAUGUAAGCCCAAUAGAUCUUACAAAAAUCAAUAAUGUAAGGCCUAACUUUCUGUGGAGUUCAGGAAACUUGAGGGGCCUUUUAUUUGCCACCAAGGACUUUGGCGUAUCACAAAAGGGCUCAAACCCCUCACCAAAGCUGUUUUCUUCUCCAAGUUAAACUCACUCACUCUUUAUGGAACUUCAAGCUCAUUGCCAAAACAAUAAUGGUGGUUUCAACUUAAAUUCAUGAUGGGUAUUUAGACUUCUCCAAUUUGACACCUAAUUACUCAAGCAUUAACGAAAACCCAAAUUCACAACAAAGUCCUAAUUUUGAUUUCUCACUCAAUUCUUACUCUAUUAAUCCAGCGGAGGAAUUCAUAGUUUCACAUAAGAAAUUAACACCUAGACUUGCUUAAUUUCAUGGAAUAACUAAUUUUUCUUUUUCUCAUAAUUAAUUCCAAAAUCCAACAUUUGGAAGAUUGACAUUCCAAAUCCACUACGACCAUCCCAUCACACCCUACCCACCUCUCCAUAACCCCCAAAACACAAUGCAACCCCAAUCAAAAACCUAAAUAGACGCCCAAUAACAGAAUUAAUCAAAAAUAAAAUAAAUGUAAGUUUCAACUCACUGUCGCAGUGCCUUCACCACCAACAAAAAGGGCCCAAUACUACCAACUCACUGUUGCCGUCACCACCAAAAAUCCGCCAUCGCCGCACUACCGGAAUGCUAAUACCCUAGUUUAGAGAGAGACAGAGCAGUGAGAGAGAGGGUAGUGAGAUUUAUAGAGAGAGGAAAUUUCUUACAAUAUAAAUGAAAUAUUUAAAUUACAUUUUUUUACAAUUAUUUACUAAUUAAAUAAUAAUAUAUUUAAUUAAUUAUUUAAUAUUUUUGACUACUGAGUUCUGGUAAAUAUAUAAUCAUAUAUUUGAUUAAUUAUUUUUAAAUUUUUCGACUACAUAAGUUGAAUUAUAAUUCUAUUAUUAAUUAAUAUUCUUAAAAUAUUCUGAUUGAAAUGAUGAAAACAUUUGGUAAAAAUAAGAUUAACAAUUUAUAUAUGCAGUGAUCGACUACUGUAGUUGGAAUAUAUUUCCAAGAAAUUAUUGCCAAAUCUUAUGGUUCUUGUUGUCAGAAAUAAUAUCAGACAUUUUAUAAAAAACAAAAAUUAAAAAUUAAAAUUUUUAAUUAAAGUAGUCGAAAAUUUGAGAUUGAUUUUAUUUCGUGAGAAUUUUCAAUAAAAAAAUAUGAAUUUCGAGUAGUGCACCGCCUUUUGGCUCAAGGUAUUCGCUACCACAUUUGCCUUGCCUGAAUGGUAUAAAAUGGAAAUUUCAUAGUCAUUUAGAUUGUGAUUCUUCUAGCUCAAAAUGUACUGAAGGAUAUGAUCAUAUGUAAAUAUCUCACAGUGAACACCAUAAAGGUAGUGCCUCUAAAUCUUAAGCGCGAAAAUUACUGCCACCAACUCUAUGUCAUGGGUGGGUAGUUACGCUCAUGAACUUUUAGUUGUAUAGAAUAAUAUUCUAUCACUCAUCCCUAUUGCAUCAGAACAAAACCUAAAACAACACUUGAAGAAUCACAAUUGACUAAAAAAUCUGGCCUUCAACUAGAAUAGUCAAAAUUGGAGAUAAGUUAGUAAGACCUAGAUCUUCAGAAAGCUCACCUCACACUCACCGAACCAUUGCAAUGAAAUAACCUUCCUAUUUAAUAUGAUCAAUAGCUCUAUAAUAAAAAAUAACCCAUCAAUGAACCAUUUGUUGUUACCUACCAAUGCAAUGAAACCGCAAACCUCAAUAGGAGAAGUGGGUCUAGCCCAAUCAUAAACUACCUUAAUCUUCUCAGGGUCUACUAUAAUUCCUUUUUUUGACAUUACAUUCCCUUAGAAUGCUACAAAAUCAAACCAAAACUCACACUCUAUGAACUUGGUAUAAGGCCCCUGAUUUGUCAUAUUCUAGAGCAUAAUACUCUAUUAUUUCUCAUGCUCUUCCCUACUCCUCGACUAAAUAAGAUGUUGUCAAUGAAUACUAUCACGAGUGACUCGAAAUAGGGCUUAAACAUAUGGUUCAUCAGGUUUAUGAACAUUGUUGGGGAAUUGGUCAACCUAAAAGACAUCACCAGGAACUUGUAAUAGUUGUACAAGUUCGAAAGGUUAUCUUAGGGAUGUCUACCACCCUAAUCUUCAACUGACAGUAGCCAAAUCUUUAGUCAAUCUUUUAACAAAUGAUACACCUUAGAGUUAGUCAAAUAGAUCAUCAAUACAUGGCAUUUGAUACUUAUUUCUUAUAGUUACCUUAUUCAGUUGUCGAUAAUCAAUACACAUAUGCAUAGAACCAUCUUUCUUCUUUACAAAUAGAACAGGAGAACCCUAUGAAUAAUUACUUGGUCUGACGAAACACUUCCCUAGAAGCUCCUGAAGCUGAACAUUAAUCUCUGUCAAUUUAGCAGGGGCUAUAUGAUAAAGUGGAACCAAAAUAUACCUAAUUCCCAAAUCAACAUGAAUAGAAAAGUCAAUAUCACACUCAGGCGAGAGGCUAGGUAAGUUAGUAGAAUAGACAUUAGCAAACUCAAGAACCACAAGAAUAGAAUCAAGGGAAACAGUGUUGGCACUAGUAACUGUACUUAAGUAAGAUAAGACAAACACCCCUUCGAAACCAUCCUCAUUUCCUAAAUGUAAGAAACAAUCCUUGUCGAUACAUGACUAUUAAAACCCACAACAUAGGUACGGGAAUUCCAGACGUAACUAAGGUAAUAGUUUGGCUAAGCAAUCCAAGACUGUGAGAUAAGGGUAUAACAAGUUGAUGCAUAUAAUAGCAUCAAAAUCAACCUAGUACAGUGGCUACACAUAUAGACAAAUAACCUGACCCAACCUGGGGCCUUAUCGUAACGGGUAUCUGGAGUCCAACUUGGAUCGGGGGCUACCCCCGAUACCCAACCCAACCAUCCAAAUGCAUACCCUGAGUCAGAUGAAUUCUGAACAUAUAACAAGAUAGCAUUUAUUAUGAUACUAGACUCUGGGAUAGGUCUAUAACUGUGACCAAUCCAAGUGAGUCCAACCAUCUAUUACCAACUAAUAACCAUAACCAAACUAAUAUAAAAACCAAGUUCCUUUCUAUAACAUAACAUAAAAGUAUGGAAAAAUCAUAAAUUCAGUCCAAGGGUAUCAGCACCAAUAUCAAUGCUAAUACUAAGACUGACACCAAUACCGACACCACCUAUUCCAACCCAUAGUAGUUACACAAGCCUCUAACCAAAAGAAAAACAAUAUUCAAUUGGGAAAUGACCCCAACCAUAGCCAAAAACAAUAUCCAUAGAACGACCAAAGUAUGUAAAAACAUCUAUGGUAUGAAAUAGAGCCUCCAGAGUAUGAAAGCUCACCACUUCAAUCCAAUAGCUGAUCCUAAAUCCAAUCACUAAGUAAGAGGAGUAGAAUGGCUAGUUCCUACAUUGCGUAGGGAUACAACUAUCCGAAGAUGGGUUAGCAGGUGAACGUUACCAUGAAAUUAGGAUAAGGAUAAAAUAAUGUCAUCUAGUAAAACCAGGUAAACCAACCAUAUGCAUACAAACUACACACACAAAAAAACAUAUAUAUAUAUAUAUAUAUAACCAUGUUAGGAAAGAGAGCUGGGUCUAGCAUGCCUUUAAAACCAUUAACUUGGGUAUGUGUAGCUUAACCGUCCUAGAAUCACCCACGUGCUAUGUGUCUAGUGUAACCCCCUGAAUGAUCCCCGAUGCAUGUAGCAGUACAAACUGAAAAUACUAUAAGCGUAAGGGAUUCUCGAGUACCCUUCUAUCUCCAUGAUACAUAUGUACAGUGUACUUAGAGGAUUCCCAUGUACCUCAUAGUAUCAUAUAUGGUCACUAUAACCAACCCUUAUGUGGCAAACAUAAGUUUCCCGUAUCCGUCCAUUGGACUCGCACCCUCACGGUUAGCUAUCACACCCCAACAUUGUUGCUGAAUUAAAACCAUUACCAUCUAACCAAACCAUUAUUCCAUUAUUAUUAAUUAAGGCUAUAAGUAGUGGUAUCAUCAUACUGCCUAUAGCUUGCAAGCAAUGUCCUUAGCCAACCUUUUAUGUAAAGGGAUUCCCAUGUACCCGUAGAUUACAUUAUUAAGUUAACUUGGGGGAAUCCCAUGUACCCCAUAAGUGUCGUAUUAUUAAGUUUUCUUGGGGGAAUACCAUGUACCCCAUAGGUUGUCUAUCAAUAUAUUUACUCGGGGGAUUCCCUUGUACCCCAUAAGAAAGUUUAAUUAACCAUAACCAUGACCACUAAACCUUACCAUUUUAACCAUUCCAAACCAUUUAAACCAUUUAUACCAAUUAGGGUUCCAUUACCAAACCAUACUAUUUAAUAGUUCCAUUAAAAAUCUAAUAGUCUAGUAAAAGCAUUCUCAUAGAUAUUUUAUCAAACACAUUGGGGGAAUAGUGUUUCCAAAAUCAAAACCAAAACCAAGUUCCAAUUAACCAUUCCCAUGCUAUCAAAUGUUCAAACCACCAUUAAAACAUAUAAAUCCAUAAUUAAAACAUGGAAAAACCAUAACCAAGCAUUUAUAACCAAAACCCCAUCAUAUAGUUAAAAACCCAAAACCAUACAUAAAAUUCUGCCAUGAAAACAUUGUAUAAAAUAUGCAUUUAUUUGGAACUAACAAUGAGGAAGGAGUAAUAUUCCUUAGAUUAUGAAGACAAUGGAGAGAAAUUACUUGUACAAGUCCCAAAUUGAUCCUCUAGAUGAAACCCUAGCCUUUCUUUACCCAAGAGUCAUAGAGAGAAUUAAAGAGUGUUUCUAAGUGUUUAAGUUUAGAAUAAUAGGGCAAAUAAUAUCCCAAAAGAGUUAUAAGUCAUGGGGCCUUAAGAGGUUAAGUAGGGAAAUAUCCAAAUUACACCUACUUAAACUGCUUUAAAUUCUCAUCAGAUGGUACGACUACCCAUACCUGUCAUACCAUCUAAUACAAGUUGUCUCCACCACUCGUACCCUAGGCCUCCCCCUUGGACCCAGCACUAUCCACUAUAUGACUUACCUAGCACAAGUCAUACAUAACCAUAUAAUCAGUACCCCUAAACCAUAUCCCUGGCAAAAUAGAAUCAAAGGAGGUUUGAUCACUGUCUUCCAUAUGAGUCAGUAGUAUGAAUUAUACCCUAUCUCAUUGCUCAUGGUGAGCCACUCAUACUCAGACCCAACUUAAGUUACUAAGUCUUAGAUUAAGUAAAGGAAAAACCCAUCACUAACCAUACGACUUGUACCUACCAAGUCGUACCCAUUCCAGAAACUAAUCCCACCUACUAACCAACACUAGUUAGUAUACGACUAAGAUUAUACCAACUGUACCCUACCAUAUGGCUGGUACCCAUAAGUCGUAUAAUGUCUAGAAACUAAAAAUCCAGGAAAUUUUCUAAGGGUCUAAACCUAGGGUGUUUUAUCCAAAGCAAAGGUUCUCUAAUAAUCCCGAACUAAGAAGAAAAAUAUAUCAUCACAUAAUAAUAAAUGGAACUUAAGUCAAAUAAAAUAAAAGCUAACAGUCAACACAUUGAAAUCAUACUUGUGAUUACUAAGUUAGAUGGCUUUGCUUUGGCCUACAAGAAAAUGCAUAUAACUAUCCGCGCCCACUACCAAACUAAGAACCUAACCAACCACCUAUAUUUCCUGACAGACCACCUCCACAAGGACCCUGAGAACCAUCCUUAAUGCUUUAGAAACCACCUUUAGCCUAUGAUAUUCUUGAUUUUAGAGGCUAAGUUUUUGUUUUGAAUGCUCGAUUAUCUCAUAUUAGGGACACUCUUUAGAAAAAUUACUAUCAACUCCACAAUAUAGAAAGACCAAGGUAUACUACUGUAAUGAGAUGAACUGGUUGAUCCAAACUGACCACCAUGACCUAAAGACCCAAAAUAAGAAUCUAAUAAUGAAUGAUUGGAUCUCUGACCACGAAAAUCACUAUAAUAUGGCUGACCAUUAUCAGUAAUCUAAGUUAUUUUUGAACCAACUAGAUAUAACCAUGUUGCUAAUAUUACUGGCUAUUACCAGGGAAACCCCUACCACAGAACUGCGAUCCAGUGUGACUACCACUGAAACAACUCUAAUGAUGGGGUAUUUUGUCAUUGCCCCUAUGGGCCUAUAGAUACAAAUCCAUAAUAGUGCAGGUAUGAUUAAUAAUCUAAGAAUGAUAGACCUAAUGAUACCAUGCUCUUAGUAGAUAGAUGAAGUUGCAGUCUUAAUCUCCUAAAGAAGCAACACACUCUCUCAUGUUUAGUAGGUAGAAUACUAGUAUCAUGCUUUGCUAACUUAUUAACCUAGACUUAUACUUGAAAACAAUCAUGGAACCCUACUCCAACCUCAAAAACUCAUUCCUUAGUUUCUCAUAUACACUAUGGGGUAUAUACUUCCCUAAAUAGCCUCACAAAACUUAUAAAGACUUGAUUUUUGUGAAUUAUUCACUUUUAUGUGAUUUGACUAUUUUAUCCCUUAUCGUGGUUGCUUUGUGGUAUUUCUAGGGUGUGGGUAUAAUCUACCUAGUUCCCAAUACUUUUCAAUGUGAUUUGUGUGAGUUUUAGUUUUUCAAGGUUUGACUUUGGUCAACGUUUAUUAUUUUAUGCAUUAGAUGGUAAAACAGACUAUGCUAGUAGAUCCAGAAUAUCGAUUUACAUUGGUAACAUAGUUGGUGUGAUUUUAUAUCUCAUUUUUAUCCUCAUAUUGAGAGGUUGUGAAAUUAGGUCUCGAGGGUCAAUUUUUUUAAUAUGAUAUUUUUUUCAAAAAUAUGAUAUUUCAUUAUGUCUGGAGCAUCAAAUUUGAUAGGGUAGCAUAGUUCAUUUACGUUCUUGGGAUUUUGGAUGAAUCUUGAGGGGUUGAUGGAGACUUGGAAUUCUCAAGUCUCCAAGAUGCUCCAAUUAGUUAGUGCAUCUCCUUAAGCGACACUUGGCUCUCUUACGCGAAGUCCGCUUAAGUGGCCAGUCUGUCGCUUAAAAGACCUAGCUUCACAACUAAUUUUUGCCUAAGCAAGACCCCCCCUGCUUAAGCGAUGCGUACAGAUUUGGCGGAUACCACCUAAGAGGUACUUGGCUGCUUAAUCGGUGACUGCUUAAGCUGUCCAAUAUCCGCUUAAGCAAUACCUGGGUAAUAUAAUAUCCCUUUCAUGAUUUUUUCCCACCAUUUUGAGACUUGGAGAUUGUGUUUUAGAGUUUUUGGGUAAUUUCUUAUAUUUUCAAGCUUGGGUAAGCUCCUAAUCCCUAUUUUUAUUAUUUUUAUUCGAUUCUUGUCAUCUAAUGCUUGUUAAAACUCGAUUUCAAAUGUGAAAUUUGGAAAUUUUGGCCCGAAAAGCCUAAAUUAGUAUUUCUUCAAUUUAAACCCCAAUUUCAAUUCGUUUUUACUUGGGUUUUCUUCUAUGGGUUCCUUUAAUAACGGAUAAAACAUUUUUGAAAUAAAAUUCUAGUUUUACCUUUAUUUUUUAAAAUCCAUUUUGGGGUUUUGUUUUGAUGUCAACUAAAAAAUGAGCAAUAUAGGUAUCAUUGGCUUUAUUUUAAUGCAUAGAUCCUAUAUUUCUAUGUUUUAGUUAAUUUCAAGUUCAUUCAUGAGGGGAAGGUUCCAUGUCGAAGACUUUUGGAUUGGGUAUUCUACAUUCGAGGUUGGUUAUGGCUUAACUUUCUUCAUAUUGGGUUAGGUAGUUAAUACUUAUAUAAAAGUAUGUUAUGUGUGUGGGAACUAAUCAUAUAGAUGGCUUUAUUACUAUUUUGUACUCGUGUGGGGGCCUAUGUUGUUAUUUUGUGGUUUUGAGACAUUUUUGUCGCAACCCAAUUUCUCAGGUCAUAAUGGCACAUACUAUAACCCUCCAGUAGGCAAGUCAACCCUAUAGUCUUGAACUACUAGUAACGGACUACCAAGAGAAUAAAGAAAAAAAAAUGCAGAGUAGAUGUAAUAAAAGGCUAACAUACAUAUGUUUUUCCCAAAAUCUGGUGGAAUCAGUACAAGAGCUUCUACAAUUAAUGAGGAUACACAUGAGAUACUAAAUGAAUAUACAAAUACAACCAUCUCUGAAUACAACAUAGAGACUAGUCUAGUACAUAUGAGGGAGAAAAGAAAUACUUCGAAUGUAAGGAGCUCACCUUGCAUCUCCAAACCAUAGCUACUCUGCACGAUCCACACAACAAUGAAGAUAACCCAUACUAUGAUCUACAGGUUGUAGAAGUAUAGUAUCUGCACCAAACACGUGGUACUUAGUGAGCAACUGUCGACUAAGCUCCAAAGAUAAAGCAAUUAUAUAUAACAUAUAAACAGUAAGGUAAACUACACCCAAAUAUCCAACAAUCUUCAUAAUAAAGCUAAUGAGAUAAAAUAGAUAAGUUAUCCAAUUCAUGUCUAAGAAACUAACAUAAGAAGGCUAAGAAGGUAUUAAAGAUGAACUAUCCUAUUCUAGCCAUACUCAAGAAACUCAACAUUAUACCGUAUAUCACUGACCAAUAUAAGAAUAAAGGGAGAAAGAAGGAUGUAUAAUGGUAUACAAGGACAAGGAAUGAAUAUAUUGAUGGAUUUGAUUAACCGUGUGUUCAGACUUUAUUUGGAUUCCUUUAUUAUUGUGUUCAUCAAUAACAUCCUUGUGUAUUCGAGGAGUAAAGAAGGGCAUAUACACUAUUUGUGAAUUAUGCUCCAGACUUUAUGGGAUCCUGUUCUUUUUGCCAAGUUUGCUAAUUCUGAGUUUUGGCUAGAGUCAGUGACAUUCCUUGGGCAUGUGGUAUCUAAUAAUAAGAUUAUGGUAGACCCAAUGAAUAUUGGGGCUAUUCGUGGGCUAAACCUACAUCUCUGAUGGAGGUUUGUAGCUUUAUUUGCUUGGCUGGUUAUUAUAGAUGAUUCAUUGACGGUUUUGCUACUAUUCAACAUCAAUGAUAAGAUUGACUCAAAAGGAGGUUUCUUUUCGAUGGUUCAAGGAGUUUAAGUCGAUCUUUGGUAAGCUCAAGGAGCUUCUUAUAUCGGAUCCUAUUUUGGCUUUUCUUAUUAAGGGUGAGGGAUUCAUCAUAUAUUGUGAUGAUUUUAGUGUUGGUUUAGGUUAUGUAUUUAUGCAUUCGGGCCACGUUAUUUCUUAUUCUUUGAUGUAGCUUAAGGUGCAUGAGCGUAACUAUCCUACUUAUAUUUUGGAGUUGGUGGUAGUAGUUUUCACGCUUAAGAUUUGGAGGCAUUAUAUUUAUGGUGUGUAUUGUGAGAUCUUUAAUAAUCAUCGUAGUCUUCAGCAUCUUAUGACCCACAGAGAGCUUAAUUCUAGGCAACGUUGAUGGAUGGAAUUGCUUAAGGACUAUAACAUUUCCAUCUUGUAUCAUCCAGGCAAGACAAAUAUAGUAGCAGAUGCCUUAAGUCAAAAAGCAUUAAGUAUAGGUAGCUUGGAUUGUAUUUUAGUUUCUCAGAGGUCAUUUGAAGGUGAUAUUCAGUACUUAGCCAACUUGAUGGUUAAACUUGAUAUUUCAUACCCUAGGAGGAUUCUGGCUAGUGUUGAGGCUAGGUCUUCACUAUUUGGGCAUAUUGGGGAUCGUCAGUUUGAGGAUAAUAUACUUUGCAUCCUUUGUGAUCAAGUGUUGAGUGGUGAUUUUGAGAGGGCCAUCCUAGAUCCUGAGGAUGUUUUGAGAUUUGAUAGCCAUAUUUGUGUUUCAAAAAUUUAUGAUUUGAUUCAGUUAAUUUUGCACGAGGCUCAUAGUUCGAGUUUGAGUAUAACUAAUAUGUAUAGAGAUUUGAGAUAGCAUUAUUGAUGGAGAGGCAUGAAGAAGGAUAUGAAGUAAUUUGUAGCUCGUUGCCUAUGUUGCCAGUAGGUAAAGGCCAAACAUCAACAACCUGGUGGAUUGAUUUUGAGAUUACCCAUUCUCGAGUAGAAAUGAGAGCGAAUUAACAUGGACCUCGUUAGUAGUUACCCGUACAUCCCCUGGUUCUGAUGUUAUUUGGGUCAUUAUGGAUCGGUUGACCAAGUCAGCAUAUUUCAUUCCUAUUCAGAUGUCCUUCAGUGCCAAUAGGUUAGCCUGUAUCUAUGUGCGGGAUAUCAUUCAUUUGCAUGGUGUGUCUAUAUCUAUCAUUUUAGAUUGGGUUUCAUGUCUACUUCUAGCUUUUGGAGAGCUUUUCAGGAGGAGUUGGGUACUCAGGUGGAUCUUAGUAUGGUCUUUCAUCCACAGACAGAUGGCCAGUUCGAGCAAAAUAUUUAGGUUCUUGAGAAUAUGCUCCGAGCCUAUGUUAUGGAUUUUGGAGGUUAGUGGAAAGAGAACUUAGCCUUAGCAGAGUUCCCCUAUAAUAACAGUUAUUAUUCGAGCAUUGAGAUGCCACUUUUUGAGGCCUUGUUUGGUAGGAGAUUUUAUUCUCCAAUUGGAUGGUUUGAAACUUUCGAGAUUUGACCCCGUGGUACUGAUUUGCUUCAGAAGUCAUUAGAUAGAGUCAGGGUGAUUGAGGAUAGGUUCAGAGCAUCUUAGAGUGGACAGAAGGCCUAUGCAAACCGUAGGCUUCAUUACUUGAGAUUUAGAGUUGGUGAUCAAGCAUUCCACUAUGUAUCUCCCAUGAACGAUGUGAUAAGGUUCUCGAGGAAGGGCAAGCUCAACCUCAGAUAUAUUAGGCUUUUUUAGAUUCUCCAUACAAUUUAUGAGGUGGCUUAUAAGUUAGCCUUACCUUCAAAUUUUGUGAUUAUCUGUCUAAUUUCUAUGUUUUAUUGUUGUGGAGAUACAGCCCUGAUCCAUCUUAUGUUCUUAGAUGGGACUUGGUCCAAUUGGAUGACCAGUUACCCUUCUUCGAGGAGCGUGUUCUUAUUUUUUCUAGUGAUGCCAGGCGAUUUCGCACUAAGUAGAUUCAUGUACUUAAGUAUUAGUGAAGGCACUAUCCAGUAAAUUAGGCUACUUGUGAGAUCAAGAGACAGAUGCAGACCUAGUAUCCUUACCUAUUCGAGACUUCACGUAAAUCCUAGUCCUUUUUUUGUGGAUGAAAUUUCCUUUAGUAGUAGAUAUUGUAAUGACCCUUCAGUUCAUUCCCAUAUUUCAACUUGUUUUCACCAUUAUAGCUUCCCUAAGUUAUUUAUGACUUGUUGGGACUAAUGUUUUGGUCACUAGAUAGUUCUUUUAGUUUUAAGAGCCAAUUCCCUGUUUUGAAGUCUUUUCUUGUUCAAAAUGGCUACCGGGCAAAAACAUCGAUCAAUCAAUCUCAUAUCCUAAUUUUGACUGUUCCAACAGCUUUGGAAUGUCAAUUUUAGGUUAGGUAGACCCUUGGUUCGAGUCUCGAGGCACUCAAAAUUAUUUUGACCUAUUAUUUAAAAAAUUUUGAAAAUGGAAAUUGGUAUGGGGCCCAUUUUUUAUUUAAAUAACCUCGGAUGGAAAUUUUGACUGCACCAUUGAGUUUGGAAUGUUGAAUUUGAUAGGGUAGUAUAGUCUAUUUACAUAUACGAGAUUCCAGAUAAAUAACGAGGGCUUGGUGGAGUAUUAGUUGUGCUGGUGCAAUCACCAAUAGCGAUGCCAAGGGUCGCGAUCGUGAUACCCUUGGCAUGCACCAAGUGCAGAGAAUGUGGUUCCAUGUCAUGAUAGAAACUCCCUAGGCUGACCGACAGAUGUCGCGAUCGCAAAGGUCGGGUCACAAUUGCGAUACCCGAACACUUGGGAAGUGUAUAAAUAGUUUUCUUUUAGCCUCUUUUUGCUCAUUCUUCAUGUAUUUCUUAGUGUGUUAAACCCUAAAUGUUAAGAAAGCUUAGUAUUAGAGCUUGUGGGCAGUUUGGGGAGCUUGGAUAACAAUUAUUACGUGAUUUUUCUUUAAAUUUAAGAUAAGAUUCCUUCUCAUUCAUGGUUGAUUUUCUCAUUUCUUGUUCAAAAUCUCUAAAACUUGAUGACUUGAUUUUAGCGCCAAUGUGGCUCGAAUAUAACCCAUUUUAGGUCAAUUACUUAUUGAGCAUAGUGUAAUAUUGGGUUGGCUUUGAAAAUGCAAUUUCUGUAAAUGGGACCUACAUGGAAUUUUUUGGGGAUUUUUGGACCCGAAGCACAAUGGUGCUAUAUGGGUAUCAUCAUUCUUGUAUUGAUGAUUAUAAUAUGAUUUUGAUAGCAUGGAAUCUUUUAGAAUCUUCUCAGAAGGGAAAGUCAGUGAUUUAGCAGAUUUUCGAGCUUUAUUCGGCAUCCUGGUAGGCUAGGCUUCAAUCUCCUUAGAGAUUGAGCUAGUUCAUAAUAUGUUUAUGAUAUCAUAUUUAGAUUUGGGAUGGGUUUUUUAAGUUGGUGAUGUAAUUGGAAACACUUGGGUUAGUUGGACCAUUUAGGCUAUUCGAAAACCAUAAUUUGGGCAUAAAUGACUUAGUUGCUCUUGUUUUAGGUAACAUUUCUAUCUUAGAGUUGAUGAGGCUUAGUUAAUAACUGAAAGUGAGUUUAGAUACCUUAGCCUAGUUUGGGGUAUAAAUUACCUUAAAUUGUAAUUCAGGGAUUUAGAGAUAGGCCUUUAACUUACCUUAGGCCAAAAUUUGUGUCAGCUAUUGGAAAUCAUUUAUACGUUUGUUGUACGCCUUGAAAAUUCUUAUUGAGGUAGUAUUGAUAAACUUUGGAAUUUGAUGGUCUUGAUGGAUUGGCAUGGAGAUUUUAUGCUUAUUGACUAGGUUAGUGACUAUGUUAUUAAUUAUGCUAUUGGUUAUGAUAAUGAUGGUAUACUUACCGAUUCGAGUUCGGAUAUUAAUGAUGAUCUUAAUGACGUAUAUAGUUGGUUCAAGUCUAAAAUAUGCUUAUGGCAUUACUUGUAUACAUAUACAUACCCAGUUCAAGUUCGAAAGUUUAUUGUGAUACUGAUUAUAUAAUUACCGAUUUGAGUCCAGAAAAUUGUUAUAAUGUUGAUCAUGAUGUUGGUAAUAUGUUAUCGUCGAUGUUGAUACAUAUGAUAUUGGUUAUGUAAGGUUGGUUUAUGUCUAACAAGGGAGUAUGAUAUAUGGAUAAUAGGUAUAUUGAUGCUAGUUUGGAAAUGGGAAAUUAUUAUAGUAUAGCAUGAGAUUGAUGGAUUCUAGCUAUACAUGGAAGUUCAGAAAUGAUGAUGGUUUGGUUUACACCUUACUUGGUAGUACCCUCCAAGCUUAUUGGGGCCUGCAUCAAAUUAUUUACUUUUUUGUACCUACUGGCAUAUGAGGGCCAAUUUUGUAGUUAUAAUUACAUGCAAUUGAUCCUUUAUGUUAUACUAUUAUACCAGCUAUUUACUUACUUAUGUACUGUGAUAUUGGAGUUGAUUCAGGUUUGCCUCUACCUUGACUUAGUUAUGUUAUCUUGCAUUUUAUCAUAUUCGUAUCAUGAAUUAGCUCAGUCGGCCGAUGAUACCUACUUAAAACUAGUGGUUUUGGUACUCAUACUACACUUUUGUACCUUUUUUGUGUAGAUCUAAGUACUAGAUGCUAUCGUUGAUUCAUCGAUCGUGCUAUGUGGGAUUUCAAAGAUAGGGUGAACUAUUAGAGUUGGAGUUGCCUAUUUCAUUCUAUCUUAUUCUAUCUUAUUUGUGUCUAGUAUUUUGCUUCGAGACAGAUUGUAUAGACUAUUUUAGAACAUUAGUUGUAUUUAUAGUAGCUCUUGUACUGGCUCUACCAGGUCUUGGGAUGGUUAUCUGAAUUGUUUCCUAUCUUUUAUAUAUAUUUCUAUUAUUUUCCUUAUUUAUAAAUUAAAAAAGUUGAACUGUACCUUUAUUUGCGAAUAUUCCACCAAGUUAGCCCAUUGCAACUAGCUCCGGGCUAGGGUACUGCUUACCUACUGGAGGGAUUUGGUAGGUUCCAUCAUGACUCAUAAAUUGGGUCAUGACAAAGAGGUAGUAGAUCAACUCUGGAAGCAUAGAUUGACUGCUACCUUAAAAAUACUCCAAGCAUUACCCAAAAUCAACUUUCCCACGGCACACUCAUACCUAGAUUUUCACCAAAAGGGCACAGUAGGUAUGAGUAUGGUCUAUUUGAACUCAGUAGAUAUCAUAGGCCGACCAAGCAAAGUAGAAAAUAAAGUAUGUAAAUACACACUAUGGGCAUGUCACCUGUAGUCAGAGAAUAUCCCAAACGGUAUCCCACAUCAUCUCCACUUAUAGUUCUAAAAUAUACACAUAUACAGAAUACAAGUACGAGAAUGAAACACAAAUAUAUAGACAUCAAAUCAAGCACAAAAAUACAACAUAAAAUGUACCCAAUGUAUGAAAUACAAUGAAGAUGAUGAUGAUGUGAUAUGUUUGAGAUUGUCGCACAACCUCCAUAUCACCUACUGAGCUCAGCUCCUAAUGUAGGACCCAUGGGGGUUCACAACUCAUAUAUAAUCUAAUAACCAAUAUUAAUAUCCCUCUAAUAUCCGUAACUCUUCUCCAACUCAUGUUUUUUAGUAGAGGUUUUGAAAGAUGUCACAUUUUCUGUCCGAAAAACUAGUAUUUCCACAGUGGUACCAAUGUUUCUUAAAUAUAUAUAUGAUAUGAGGAUAUAAUGCUCACAACCAACAAGAAUCAGAAUUUCCAAAUCUAAAAAAUAUACCAAGCACACUAUCCAAAAAUCCACUAAAUAAGCCAACCAUCCAUGAUCCAAUAUAAUCCAUAUAACAAUAGUGCAAGAUAUAUAAUAAUAUUUCAUUUGAUGCCACAUAAGUUCUAAGUUAGACAAUUUUCACUAAGAAGAAAACAACCAAUUACAUAAAUACUAAACUAACAACAUCAUAUAAGAUCCCGCACGAACAUACAUAACAAAUAAUAUGUAAUGAUCCCCAGUUAUUUCCUCAAUUUGCAUAUAUUUUUGGUAUUUUGAACCUUCCCACAGCUGCUACAUAUCAAUUAUGACUUGCCGGAACUAUCGAUUUGGUGAUCAGACAGUUUAUUUGGAUUUUAGGCUUAUUUCCCCCUUUUGGAGCAUUCGUUGUUUAGGAUUUAGUCACGGACCAAAAAUCCUAGCAGAUGACCUUAGAUGGAAAUUUUGACAGCACUAUUAUCUCUGCAACUUUAGGAGGACCCUUAGUUUAGGUCCCGAGGCUUCUGGACUCAUUUGGGAUAUUAGGCAGAUUAUAUGAAAAAUAAAACUAUAGGUGUGGGCACCAUAUUUAGUCAAAAUAAUCUUGGAUUAAAGUUUUGAUGGUUUUAUUGAGUGCAAAAAGUUGAAUUUGGUAUGGCAGCAUAUUUUUCUUGCACGUAAGGAGUUUCAAACGAAUCCCGAACACCCCGUCGGAGUCCAUUCUGGACUUAGAAAAAAACUGGUGCAUUAGGUAUGGUGUGACUGCGUUCGCAAUGGGUAGAUCAGGAUCGCGGAAUGAGAUUUAUGACUUAAGUUAUAAAGCGCAUAGGGUAUAUAUUAUUUAUGCUUAUUUUUAUAGAAUCUCGAUUGCAAAGGGUAAAUCGCGAUUGUCAUACGCGAUUUACCCUUUUCAGGUCGCGAUCACAAUAGCUGAGUCGUGAUCGUAGCUUCUGACACCAUAUUUAAUCUGCUUCUUCAGCCAAAUUUUCCAACAUUCUUUCCACUACUUUUACACCAUUUUGAGAGCUCAAGGAAGGUAAAAUAAUGGGAAAUCAUCCAAAUAAGCUAAGAUAAGCUAGCUUAAUCCUUUUUCAUUAUCUCCCAUUGAUUUUUUCGUUGAUUCCCAUCUAAAUUCAUGGUAAAUUCUUAGAAAAUAGGGCUUUAAAUUCCUAAACUUUAAGGAUUGAUUUGAGACCUGAUUUGUUCUCAGUUUGUGCUUAACUUUUAAGCACAACUUUCUUGUUCUUUGAGGGACCUAGUGUCAGGUUCAAUUUUGGAUUCCAUUUAUCGGCCCUGCGGGCUCAUUAUUGACUAAAAAUUCAACCCAACCUUAAUAUAAAAAUUUGAGUCUCGUUUUACUCCUAAUGGCAUAUUUUUAAUUUUGAUAGCAUAGAGGCAUUUCAAGAUUGUGGAUUUAAGAUGGAAAUUUUGGAUGAUUUAAGGAUUUAUGUUUUGCCAUCAAGGUAGGCUUCUAUAUACUCUUCUUCACAAGAUAAUGUAUUUUAUAUAUUUCAUGUGAAUGAGAAUGUUAAGAUUGAUUAUUGGUAGAGCAUCGUGACUCAGUCUUGAAUAUUGAAGUUUAGGGAUUAGAUGAGUGAUUUGACCUGUAAGGUAAAAUGCUUACUAUACUUUUAGAGUCCUAUUGCUUUCUUUAUAGAAUAAGCUAAUUUGUAGUAUGAUUAUGGUAUUAUGCUAGAUUUGGGAUGUGGUUUAGGUGUCAGAAGUGUGAUUGGUAUUUUCCUUAUUUGGGCUAUUUAGCUAUCUUGAAACUAUAAUUUAGGUAGAGUUGACUUAAUUGCUCGUGUCCUAGGUGAAAUUUCUAUCUUAGGGCUAAUUAUGGCUUAUUUACCCUCUAAAAGUUAAUUUACAUACCUUAGCAUAGUCUAACAUAGAAAUUGCCUAAGAAUGGAUUUCGAGGAUUAAAAGUGGGUUCAUUUGGCCCACCUUAGGCCAAGACUUGUGCUAGCCUCGUGGACUUAUUUACGUAUGUUAGACAUAGUUGAGACUAUUGUGCCUUUAUUAUAAGGUUACUUUAUGACUAGGUGAAUGGUGAUGCUUUUCCCAGAUUAUGGUUAAUGGCUCGUAGCUAUGAUAUGACUUUUGAAUUUGAUUAAUGAUAUGGCAUGUCGACAUGCUAAAUGGUAUAGAUAUAGCUAUGAUAUGGCUUAUAGAUAUAAUAUAAAUUGUGAAUAUGAGAUUCCUUAUAAAUAUGAGAUGGCUUAUAGAUAUGAGAUGGCUUAUAGACAUGGAUAUUGAUAUAGAUUCCGAAUAUGCUUAAUGUUAUAGCUUAUAGAUGUGAGUCUUGAUAUAGAUUCUGGGCAUGGCCAAGAAUAUAAAUUAUGAUUAUGCUGGAUAUAAAUUUGGACCUUAGGUCGUGAUUAUAAUACUAUAGUUAAUUCAGACAUAAUAUUAGGCCUACGACUGUGUGUAUGAUAUUGAAUGGUUCAGUUUUAGGAAGUAUUCCAUCCUUCUAUAGGAAAUAGUCAUAGUUUAUUGAUAUUAUAAUGCUUAUGAUGUCCAUGUUUGAACACUAGUGAUGACAUGUAUAGAUUCGGUAUAUUCAUGAUCACUAAAUAUGGUAAAUAGUACGAUUCCAACUAAAAUAUAAUUUUAUUACUGUUUUUCCUGAAAAGGGGUUAAAGCCCACAUUUCACCUUAAAAAUGGAUUACUUCAUAACGGAAAAUAUACCAUCUUAAUGGAUGACUUAUGUGCAUUGAGACUCAGAAUAGUAUUGUAAAGACUUGGUCGAGGUAACUUCUGGUCCACAACUUUACUACCACUAUUUACUCUGGUCGAGAGAGAUUAUGACGCUUUCUACAUUCCUAUGAUGUUUUAGUCCCAAAGUAACCCUUGCAAUGGAUUUAUGGAUUUACAUCCUUUUAUCUUUGAUUUUAAUUAUGCAAUUAUAUAUAUACAUAAAUCUGGUAUUGAAUGCAUAGUCGAUGAAUUAUGGUAUUGAUAUAUAUAUAUAUAUAUACAUACAUACCAGCUCAAGUCUGAUGAUUGAUGAUGAUGUUGAUGAUGAUAUGAGUUUUAGAUUAAGUCUGGUGAUUGAUGAUGAUGUUGAUGAUAUAAGUUUUGAAUUAAGCUUGACAGGACAUGAUGAAGUUGAUGUUGAUGAUAUUGUUGAUGUUGAGGAUAUUGAUUAUAAUAUUUAUGUUAUAUAUACAUAUCUACCGGUUCAAGUCUAGAUAUUGAUUAUAAUAUUAAUGAUGAUAUAGUGGUUAAGAAAUUAUGGAUUCACCUCGCAUUUAUUUAUGUAUGUUCAUUGCCUAUCACUAGUAUGUGCCUAUAUCUAUUAGCCAUAUGAAAGGUUGCAUAGGUAUAGGUAUGAGUGCUAUUUGCAGUAUAUUAUGUGGAGCUUGUAUCUAUUAGCCUUAUGAGGGUUGCAUAGGUAUGGUCCAGACUAUUGGUGGCCUGAGUGUUGAUUGAAACUUCUGAGCCUAUGGAGGUGGGGAUUAUGAAAGUCUCGAUUAGGUAUUAUGUGUCUAGAUUGGCCGGUUACUCGUGUUGUUAUUGUUACCUUAGAUUAUUACUGUCAUUAUUAUUAUGGUUAGUCCAUAACAGGUUGACUAUUGGGUUGGUAUUGCAAUUUUAGGUAACUCUAGCUCUUUUACUUUACAGAUUAUAUUUAUAUGCAUAAUUAUCCAUUGUUUAGGCAUUAUUGUUUUGGACACUGAGAUUUUUGUUCCUUUCUUUUACUAUCUCUUCAUUUCAAUAGCUAGCUCAUGUCUAGACAUAUGGAUUAGAGACCCUGAUGAUAUUAGCACUUGCUUCCACUAUGACUAUGAGGACUAAAGAUACUAGUAUGAUGACAUAGGUUAUACCAUGAGUUGUAAUAGGUUUUAUAUAUUUAUAUCUAUAUAUAACUAGCUAUGGUAUUACCAUAUAUCCCCUUUUUCGUUCAUUAUAUACUAUUAUACAUCCUUCUUUCACCCUUUACUAUUAUAUUAAUCUACGAUAUAUGGUAUAAUAUUAAGGUUCCUAAGUAUGGAUAGAAUGGGAUAGUUCAUCCAUAAUGCCUUGUUAGCCUUCUUAUGUUAGUUUCUUGGACACAAAUUAGAUAACUUAUCCUUUUUAUCUCAUUAUCUUUAUUAUGAAAGAUUAUUGGAUAUUUAGGUGUAGUUACCAUACUAUUUAUAUGAUGUAUAUAAUUAUUUUAUCUUUAGAGCUUAUCAGUAGUUGCCUAUUGAGUACCUCAUGUUUGGUACUUAUACUAUACUACUACAGCCUACAGAUCAUAGUACAAGUUAUUUCCAAUGUUGUGUGCAUCAUGCAGGCAACUAUGGUUUGAAGAUACAUGGUGAAAUCUUACAUACUAGACUAGUCUUUAUGUUGCAUUAAAAGAUGGUUGUAUUUGUAUAUUCAUUUAGUGCCUUAUGUGUAUCCUCGUUAAUGGUAGAAGCUCGUACUAAUUUUACCUGGUUUUUAGAUUAUCUUAUGUAUGUUAGCCUUUUAUUAUAUCUAUUCUGCAUUCUUUUCUUUAUUCUCUUGGUAGUCCAUUACUAAUAGUUCUAGACUCCAGGGUUGGCUUGCAUACUGACGGGUUAUAGUAGGUGUUAUUAUGACCUGAGAAAUUGGGCCGUGACAAGUUGGUAUCAGAUCCUAGGUUCACUGGUGUAUUGGUAUAAGAGCUAAGUGUUUAGUAGAGUCCUGCGGAUACGUCCGUAGCCUAUCUUCGGGAGGCUACAUGGUAUUCUUUGAAAAUUUAUUUCUUGACUCUUUAUUGUGUGUUUGUAUUCCUAUAAGCCUCAAGUGCAUUCGUUGACUCUAUUCCAUCCUAGAUGGGUGAUUCAAGGUUGUCAUAGAUGUAGAAAAAAUGUUGGCAUGCAUUUCCAUAGCUUCAGUGUAACGUCAAACCAGGGAGCUAGAGAUGGAUGUCAGAGAUCUUCAACAUUAGUUAGAGGAUUUGAGGCUAACCCAGGUUCCAGUAGAGUUUGUGAUUAUUUCAGCUUUUUGAGAUUCAGGAUUAGGGAUCUCAAUUCUCUUUAUGGAUACCUCACAACUAAGGGUGAUAUCCAAUUAAUCAAGCAAUUCCCAGGCAAUAUUUAGAUUUGUUGGUAUUCAUCAAGGUUUCUUAUUGGUUUUAGAGUAUGAAAGUGAUUUUUUUAAGUGGUCCAAGCAAAAUUCCUAUACUAUAUCCUUCUGAGCAGGACAUGGUGUGUGGAUCUAUUAGAGGAUUAGCAUUGCCACUCUAUUUGGUGUCGGAUCACUUAAUAGAAAUAAGGUCUUCCUUCUCUCAGGUUAUUGAGCAUGCGAGAACCAUAGAGCGAGCAUGCAUUGAGACUUAUGGAGAUGGCAAAAAAAGGCUAUGUCAUUAGUACAAUGCUAUUAGUAUUUCAUAUAGGAGUGUGGAUAUUUCCAAUCGGGCUCUGCAUCACUUGUAGCCUAUUAAUUCUAUGUAAGAGAUGUUUCGGAUUAUGGGUGACUCUUAGGUUAGUCAUGGCGGUCAUUCUGGAUCAGUGUGUGUAGCACUUCAGAGUAUUCUAGGAGAUUAUUUUGGUUAUGGUAAGAUGGUUCAUUGAUCCAGAGUUUCCUUAGCAUAGGAUUAUUGGUUGUUUAACUCAUUCAGAUUAGUCUCAUAGUGUUGUGGCACCCUUAGUUAGAGAUAGUGCACUUAGCACCUCAAUUAAUGAUUUAGUUGAUCAGCCCGAGUUGGACUCGAUCAGAUUUGUUCUCCCUCAAACACAUCAGUCAUAUGACUUCAAAUUCCACCAUGAUUGGUGCACUUUUAUUUCUUGCUCGUACACUUUAUUUAUAUGUAUUGGGGUUUUUGUACCCAUUGAUGAUUAUAUUCCUUAAUCAAAUUAUAUUAGUUGUUGUGUGGCUUGUCAUUGAAUUAAUGAUUAUGUGACUACCCCAUGGAUUAUUUUUUUUAGUAAUGCAUAGAGUUUAUCUGAUGUUGAUAUUUCCUUGGGGAUGAUCAUUUGGCUUUUGGUCCAUUUACCUUGGCAUAUUAGCCUUAUUAUGGCCCUUGAGUGGUACUUGCUAUUGAUUUUCAUUUUUAUACCCCUACUCAUUAUAUUGAUGUUUAUAUUAUUAUUGUUAUUAUUAUUAUUAGUUGAUUUAAUUGGUCCUUGCUUGGUAGAUAGCUAGACUGUUAGCAUCUAGUUAGAAUCUUCCCUAUUCUUUGCGGUUAUUAUUGGUUGACUUGGGUAAGUUAGCUGGGCUGGAUGAUUUCUCUCUUAUCGCAUGGUGAGGUUAGUUAUUUUUCUCUUUUGUUAGUUAUGCUAGACUAGUUGUUGAAUGAAUUAUUAUAUCGAAUAUAAGUUGACUUUUCAUGGUCUGUUAUGGUUCUAGAGUUGGCAAUCUGGUUAAUUUCUCAUUCUUGAGUUUGGGAUUCUUUGUUUUGUUUUCUGGGUUGUGAAGGCUUUUGGCUGUCCUUCUCUAUAUAGAUUAUUUCUGGGGUUGAUUAGUUUAGGGUUUGUUCUUUCAAUUUGGCUAGUUCAUCGCUCGAUAGUAUUUUAAUAAUGACUUUAAGAGGUUUUAGAUUGGUCUUCCAGGAUUGUUGGGUUCUUCUCUUUGGCAUGGUAUUUUGUUGGUGUUGGUGUGGAUUCGGAUACUCCAUUCUCAUGAUAAUGCAAUUCUCAUUCUAGUGGAGUUAAGAGAGUUAAAGAUAGGUGAUAUUUCCUGUGACCACUUCCUAAGUUGGUAAAUUAAAAAUUCUUUAUCUUGAGUUUCUUAGUUUCUGUUAUGGUAGUGGUCUUGACCUUGACAUUGGUGUUGAUCUUGGUACUUUAUUCCUCGAUAAGGUGAUUCAUUUAAGUGAGUUAUGGUUGUCCUACUUUGGUGGAUUCAGAAAAUCCUCAUUUUGGAAUUUGUUUGGCGUAAUAAGACUUGGUAAAGUGCUUCUCCUUGGUUUAAUGUGAUUAGUUUCUGGAUAAGGUUGUUUUUAUUGAGUUUCUAGAGUUGCUGCUGUUGCUAAUGCGAUUUGCCGCCUUAGUGAGUUCCCGAGUAUGUUUGGGUGGUUCAUGCCUUUUAGUAGAUAUGGAUUUGAUUCCUUGUGUUUUCAGAAGGUGAUUAACCCUCUGCAGUGAUUUUGUUCUUCAGCUAUAUUUCAAUUUUUUUUUUAGCAUGAUUCAGUAAGGAUAUGUCUGAUAUAAAUGGUAAGAUAGAUUUGAAUAUUUGUCCUUAAUUGAGGCUUAUUGGCUCAAAUUUAGAUUUGAUGCCUUGGAAUGACUAUUUGGGAGUUAUGAUAGAUUUGGAAUGUGAAUGCUUACCCAUAUUCAGGUUCGGUUUAGGUGGUUGAGAUCGAGUUGUUCAGCCUUGGUGUUGAGAUUUCCGCUUAAAGUUGUAGAGCUUGAGUGCAACCUUUAUUUUUGAAUCAUCUCAGUUAGAAUUUAAUAUAUCUGCUGGCUGAGCCUACUCUGUCUCUACCUAUUCGGUCUUCUUGAGUUCAGAUAGAUUAUGGUCGAUAGGUAUUCAGGUGACAGUCCAUGGACACGGUAUUGGUUCCUUAACUUUUGACUCUAAUUUUUUAAUUUUCAUAGAGAUUUUGGAUAAUUUACUAAGCAAGAGUAGUAUACUUGAGUUGGAUUUAGCUUGGUUUUAUUUUUGGUUGAUGGGACAUCUUGGAUCAGAUCGUUCAGUGAUGAUUAGUUAUGCUUUGUACUUCUGGAUUUCAGUAUUGAAUAUCAUCCUGGACAGUUGUAGCAUUGUCAUAGAUUAUAUACCUUGAUUAUCUCCAUUUGCGUGCCCAAGUAGCACCUCAUGGGCUUAUUCUUAUGAUUGCCAUAUGGAUUCUCAGCGGAUUAGCUUCAGUUCUUUGAGUUUUUAGUAAUUUGAUUGCAUGGACAGGACUUAGAUAACUUUUUACUUUGUUUGGAGUCUUAGCGGGUUUGAAAAUGUAAGAGAAGGUUAUAUAUGGAUUUGGUGUUGGUUAUAUGAAUCAUGCCCUGGUUUGCCUUUGGCUUGGAUGAGCCUUUGUUGGAUUAUACUGGUAUCGGUGUGGUAUUAGCGUGUCAUAGUUCAGAUUUGUGUUCAUCAGCCUUCCUCGGUUAAGUUGAGUUUUAACUGUUUAAGAGCAAGUACAGUAGAUGGUUAAAAAAGGAUACUCAUGUAAAAUCCUUUGGAAGUGUUGUCUCACCUUUGAGGUCAUUUCAGAAGUCUUGCUUAGAGAAUGCAGGUCCAAUAUCUCAUCAUUUUGAGCUUUGGAGAUCUUUCUACCCAUUCACUUUUACAGAGAAAAGUUCUUUUAGUUGUAGAUAUUGCAAUGACCAUCCACGUUAUUUCCUCGAUUUGUAUGCAUUUCCAGCAUUUCAAACCUUCCCAUAGCGGCUACAAGUCAUUUAUGUCAUGACGGAAAUAUCAGUUCAAUGACCAGACAGUUCAUUUAGAUUUUAGGCUUAUUUCUCAGUUUUGGAGCUUUUGCAGUUUAGGAUUUGUUCUCAGACCAAAACUCCUUGUAGAUGACCUCGAAUGGAAAUUCUGAUAUUGCCAUCAACUCUGAAAUGUUAAUUUUAGGCUAGGUGGAUCCUUGGUUCAGGUCCUGAAGAUUCCGGACUUAUUUUGGGCUAUUUGGGCAAAUUAUAUGAAAAAUGAAACUAUAGGUAUGGGUCUCAUAUUUAGUCAAAACAACCUAGAAUGAAAGUUUUGAUGGUACCAUUGAUUUUGAAACGUUGAAUUUUGUAUGGUAGCAAAUUUAGUUUGCAUGUAUAGGGUUUUGAAUGAAUCUCGAACACUAGAUCGAAGUCCAUUUCUGACUUAGAAAAAUAUUUGAUGUAUCAAGUCUGGUGUGACCACAAUCGCGAAGGAUAAAUCACGAUUGUGAAAUUAGAUUUAUGACUUAAGUUGCAAAAUGCAUAGGGCAUAUGUGAUUUAUGCUUAUUUUUGAUAAAAUCGCAGUCAUGAAGUGUAAAUCGCGAUCACCAUACCCGGUUUACCCUUUGCAGUUCUCAAUUGUGAUAUCCGAAUCAUGAUCGUGGCUCCCAACACCAUAUUUAAUCCCCUUCUUCAGCCUAAUUUUCUAACCCUCUUUCCACUAUUUUUACACUAUUUUAAGAGCUCAAGGAAGUUAAAAGAGUGGGAAAUCAUCCAAAUAAGCUAAGGUAAGCUAGUCUAAUCCUUUUUGGUCAUUUCUCGUUGAUUUUUCCUUUGAUUCCCGUCAAAAUUCACGGUAAAUUCUUAGAUAUUAGGGUUUUAAAUUCCUCAAUUUUAAGGGUUGAUUUGAGACCAGAUUUGUGCUUCAUUUGUGCUUAACUUUUGAGCACAACUUCCUUGUCCUUCGAGGGACCUCAUGAUGCAUUCAAUUUUGGAUUCCAUUUACAGGCCCUGUAGCCCCAUUCUUGACUUGAAAUUCAACUCGACCUUUAAUAUAACAAUAUGGGUCUCAUUUUCAUACUAAUGAUGCAUAGAAUUUGAUUUUGAUAGUGUACCAGUAUUUUAAGAUCGUGGAGUGAAGAUGUAUAUUUUGUGCACGACUCAAGGAUUUAUGAUUCGAAAUCAAGGUAGGUUUCUAUCUACUCUUCCUCACAAGAUGAUGUAUUUUGUAUAUUGCAUGUGAAUAAGAAUAUUAAGAUUGAUUAUGGUUAGAAGACCAUGACUUAGUCUUGAAUAUUAAAGUUUGAGGAUAUCGAUUGUAAUAUUGAUGUUAUAUAUAUACACAUCUAUCAAUUCGAAUUUAGAUAUUGAUUAUAAUAUUGAUGAUGAUAUAGUGGUUAAGAUAUUAUGGAUUCAUCUCCCAUUCAUUCAUGCAUGUGCAUUUCCUAUCACUAAUAUGUGCCUAUAUUUAUUAGCCAUAUGUGGGGUUGCAUAGGUAUAAGUAUGAGUGCUACUAACAGUAUAUUGCAAGGAUCUUGUAUAUAUCAACCUUAUGGGGGUUGCAUAGGUAUGGGCUAGAACCAUUGGUUUGUUGAGUGUUGAUUGGACCUCCUGAUCCUAUGGUAGUGGAGAUUUAUGAAAGGCUCGGAUAGGUAUUGUGUUUUUGGAUUGGGUGGUUACUCAUGUUGUUAUUGUUACCUUGGAUUAUUACUGCCAUUUCUAUUAUGGUUAGUCUGUAACAAGUUGAUUAUUCGGUCGGUAUUGUGAUUUGAGGUACGACUCUGAUUCUUUUACUUUGUGAAUUAUAUUUAUAUCCAUGAUUAUCCAUUGGCUAGGAAUUAUGGUUUUAGACCUUGAUAUUUUGGUUCCUUUCUUUACUAUCUCUACAUUUUGAUAGUUAGCUCAUAUCUAGACACAUGAAUCAGAGACCUUAAUGAUAUUAGCACUAGCUUCCAGUAUGAUUAUGAGGCCUGAAGAUGCUAUAUGAUGACUUAGGUUGUACCAUGAGUUGCCCUGGGUUUUAUAUAUGUAAAUUUAUAUUUAAGUAACUAUGGUAUUACCGUAUAUCCCUUUGUUCCUUCAUUUAUUCAAACAACGUAGUUGGGGCAUUAGUCAACCCUAAAGACAUCACUAGGAACUCAAAAUGACCAUAACGGGUCUUAAAGUCUGUCUUCAGUAAAUCCUCAGCCUGAAUCCUCAACUAAUGGUAAUCAGACCUCAAAUCAAUCUUAGAAAUACCAGACCUCAGCCCGAAUCCUCAACUAGCUGCACCCUAAAGCUAGUCAAACAAGUCAUCAAAGUGAGUCAUAGGAUAACGAUUCUUUAUGACAUCGUAUUAAGUUACCUAUAGUCGAUACAAAUACGCAUGGAGCCAUCUUUCAUCCUUAAAAACAACACAGGAGCUCACCAAGGAAACACACUCGAUCUAAUGAAACCUUUACCAAAAUGAUCUUAAAGUUGAGAAUUUAGAUCCUUAAGCUCGGUAGGAGCCAUAUGGUAAGGUGCUAUAUAAAUAGGUUAGGUUCCAGGCUCAAGAUUAAUAACAAACUCAAUCUCACGGUCAGGAGGUAUAACAGGUAGAUCAAUAGAGAAAAUAUUAGAAAACUCACGAACUACAGAAACAAAGUCUAGCGAUGGGUUUUCUACAUUAACAUCACAAAUAUAAGCAAGAUAAGACUCUCAACCCCUUGCUUUAAGUCUCCUAGCAUACAUAUAAGAAAUAUUCCCCAUCAGCUCAUGGCUAACAGCUCCCUGCCACAUGAUCAUGGGUAUGCUAUGUAUGGUUAAAUUAAUGGUAUUGGCAAAAUAAUCCAUGAUCACAUGAUAGUGUGAUACCAGUCCAUACCCAAAGUCAUAUAAAAAUCCAUCGUAUCCCGAAUAAUAAGAUCAGAAUGAGUAUCAGCAUCUCUAACAGUCACAACACAUUAUCUGAACACCCGAUCCACUACUAAAGAAUCACCCCCGAGAGUAUAGGACAUAAAUAAUAAAUCCCAUGAUAACUCUAACCGUGGAUCAAAAUAAGCAAACACAUAAGAAUAAGUAGAUCCUAGAAUGCAAGACAUGUGACAAUAGCGUCUGAAGACUCAACCUUUGGUUUAGAAGGUACUGUAUAUAGCUUACCAUGCUUGCCACUUGUAUUUUCUCCUAAUCGACUACCUCCCCUACUUGCCUGAGAACUACCUCAAGCACUUUGGGGACCACUUCUACGACCAUACGAACCACCUCUAGUUGAGGGAUAAACUACUCUAAUAGGGGGAAUAUUCUGAGCUGAAGCAACAAUUCCCUACUACUAGGGCACUCUCAUAAAUAAUGGACACAACCUCCACAACUAUAUCAUGUCCCAUGAACUAAACCAGGACAAGAAGAUCUAGCUGACCCUGAGUAACCACCACCACUUUAAUAACCAGAAAAUGAACCACUUAAAAACUGACCACUACCCUGACUAGGGCGAUUACUAACACAAGAUUGACCUCCAUUAGCAAUCCGCUGUAUUAACAGGUCUACUAGGCUGACUCUAAGGCUGAUAUGUCUAACGAGAAGGGUACCUACCCUGAGAACUACUACCUCUGAUCCAAGAGAUACUACGACUCCUACUAAAACUACCUUGAUAUUGAGGUAUAUUAUCGCUACCCCCUUGGGCCUCUCCAUGCAUCUCCUCCAUCACCUGAGUGUGAUAAAAAACCUCGACAAAAGAUCUACCCAUAACAAAAAAACUCUAAGUAGACAUGCAAAGAGAAGUCUCAAUCCAUGAACAAAACAAGGGACCCUCUGUUACUUAGUAUCUAGAAUAGAAGUAGCAUGCCUAGACAACUCGUAAAAUCGAGCCUCAUACUCCAUAAUAGUUAUGAAGCCCUACUUCAAUCUAGAUAACUGAUCCCUAAAAUGACCCCUAAGGCUGCAAGGCAUGUAGUUCUCCAAAAGAAGUUCAGAGAAUUGAGCGCAAGUCAAGGGAGAAGAUCCAGCUGGCUUGGAAUCAAGAUGAACCCUCCACCAAUAUUGAGAUACAAAAUCCAACUAAAAAUUAGUGUAAUCCAUACCAUGAGUCUCAACUAGUCCCAAAUUAUGGAGCCUAUCCUCAUAAGCAAUCAGAAACUCAUAUGAAUCCUUGCGCGGUGCACCAGAAAACCUAGGCAGAGAAAAUCUCAAAAAUAUACCCAAUAUUUUCUACUCCUCAACGUACAUGGCAGGCUGGGCAACCACUAGAUGAGAAACUAUCUUCUAAGAAACUACCAGUGUAGGAGGGACCUCAACUCUGGGAGUCAUAGCUAUAGGAUAUGCCUUUGCCUUCGCUACCACUCUGAUUUGUAGACUGUGCACCACGAAAUAAUCCCAAAAGCUGAACCAAAGCAUCUCUAAGUCCUGAAAAAGAAAUAAAUCUUGGUGGAGCUUAGGCUGGUCUUUUGCUCACCACUAGCUGGGGUAGAAGAAUCUCUGGCUCAUAAGCAAGAAUAGGGUCUUAUGAAGGCCUCCUAUCCCGACCUCUACCUAGGAAAACAUUUUGGGGCUAUCCAUGACCUUUGGGUCAUCCACAAAUAGUGAUCGAAUCCCUAAGCUUGGUCUCAAGACCCUUAUCUUAUAUAACGGUAGUACAUGUCCUAGUCAUCUGUGAAUGAGUGAAGCCAAAAGAAUGCUUUAUUAUCCAACCCAGAGACUUAGAAUGAAAUAUGUGAAAAAAGUGAAGGACUCCUAAGAAUGUCCUAUAGCCUCCCAAAGAUAGGAAAUAUACAUCAUCGUUCUGAUCCACUAGACAUACUAGACAUCUACUAUUGUACCAAUAAUACUGGUGAAACCUGGUUCUAAUAUCAAUUUAUAAUGACCUGAUUUAUGAGUCAUUAUGGAAUCUACCAAAUCCUUCUAGUAGGUAAGCUGAACCCUAGCUCAGAGCUAGAUAUAAUGUGCUAUGUUGGUGGAAGAUGACAAACAGUGGCAAAGUUUGACAAUUUUAAUUUAUAAAUAAGGAAAAUAAUGGUAAUAUAUAAAAGAUAGGCAACAAUUCAGAUAACCAUCCCACGACCUGGUAGAGCUAGUACAAGAGAUACUAUAAAUACAAUCCAAGUUCUAAAUAGUCUAUACAAUUUAUCUCAAAGAAAAAGUCUAAAUUUAAAUAAGAUAGAAGGAAAUGGGCAACUCCGACUCCAAUAGCUCACCCUAUCUUCGGAAUCCCACACAACACGAUCGAUGAAUUAACGAUGGAAACUAGUACUCAGAUCUGCACCAAAAAGGUAUAGAAGCGAAGUAUGAGUACUAAAACCACAGGUACUCAGAAGACAUCAUCGACCGACUGAUUUAAUUCAUGAGAUGAAUAUGAUAAAAUGCAAGAUAACAUAACUAAGUCAAGGUAGAGACAAGCCUAAAUUAAAUCCAAAAUCACUGUACAUAAGUAAGUAAAUAGCCAGAAUAAUAACCUAACAUAAAGGAUCAAUUACAUGUAAUUAUAACUACAAAAUUGGCACCCAUUAGCCAAUAGGUGCAAAAAAGUAAAUAACCCAAUGUAGGCCCCCAUAAGCUUAGAGGGUACAAUAAAGUAAGGUAUAAAACAAACCACCAUCAUUUCCCAACUUUCAUGAUACAUCUAGAAUCUAUUCAUAUCAUGCUAUACUAUAAUAAUUUUUGAAUUCCAAUCUUGCAUCAAUAUCCCUAUUAUCCUUGCAUCAUACUCCCUUGCCAGACUUAAAUCUGCCCUCACAUAACCAAUAUCUUAAGCAUCAAUAUCAAUGAUAACAUAUUACCAACAUCAUAGCAUUUUUUUGGACUUGAACCAGUAAUUAUAUAACCAAUAUAACAAUAAUCUUCCAGACUUAAACCGGGUAUGUAUGUGUAUAUAGGCAAUGCCAUAAGUAUAUUUUAAACUUGAAUCGGGUACAUACGUCAUCAAGAUCAUAAAAAUAUCCAGAAUUGAACCGAUAAGUAUAUCAUCAUUAUCAUAACCAAUAGCAUGAUAGCUAGCAUAAUUAAUAACAUAGCCACUGGCAUUAUAAUAGGCAUCAACUCUUCAUGCUAACCCAUCAUGACCAUCAAAUGCCAAAGUUUCUCAAUAUUACCUCAAUAAGCAUUUUCAAGACAUACAAUAGGAUUAAAGGUUUCCAAUAGCUAACAUAAAUCUUGGCCUAAGGUGGAUCAGAGGCCUACCUUUAAAACCCUAAAUUGCAAUUCAAUGCAAUUUAUACCCCACACUAGGCUAAGGUAUCUAAACCCACUUUUAGAUAUUAACUAAGCCAUAAUAAACCCUAAGAUAGAGAUGUUAACUAAAGCAUGAGCAACUAAGUCAUUUAUGCCUAAAUUAGGAUUUUUGAAUAGCCUAAAUGAUUAAUCUAACCUAAGUGUUGCCAAUCACAUCACCAACACCUAAAAACCAUCCUAAAUCUAAUCAAGAUAUCAUAACAUAAUAUGAAGUAGCUCAAUCAAUGAGGAGCGUGAAGCCUAGUCUGGCGUCACUAGCUUAAUAUAUAAGGAGGGUGAAGCCUAGCCUACCUGGACAGUUAUGAAAGCUUGAAAAUCUGCAAAAUUACUGACUUUUCCCACCAAGAAGCUUUUGCAAGAUGACACACUUUCAAAAUCAUAUUCAACUCAUAAAUAUGAGAACAAUAAUAUCCAUAUUGCAUCAUUAUGCUUCUGAUCCAAAAAUUACCCAAAAAUUUGAGGUGGGUCCUAUUUGUAAAAAUUGUGUUUCCAAAGCGAACCCAAUAUUACCCUAUGCUCAAGGUAAUUAUCCUAAAAAAUGGGUAAAAUUCAAGCUACACUGACGAUAAAUUAGGUCACUAAGUUUUAGGAAUUUUGAACAAGAAAUGGGAAAAUCCAUAUGAAUAAGAAGGAAUAUUACCUCAAAUUCAAAGGAAAAUUGCAUAAUAAUUAUUAUCCAAGAUCCCCAAAUUACUUAAAAUCUCUAAUCCUAAGCUUUUUCAACAUUAGGUUUUAAAUCUCUUGAAAUAGAAGAUGAAUGGGAAAAAAGGGCUUAAAGGGAAAUAUUUAUACCCUUCUUAAGUGUUAGGGCAUCAUAAUCGUUACCCGACCCUCGUGAUUGCAGCAUCAACCAAUCUUUCAAGGGAGUCACUAUCGUGACAUGGCACUGUGAUUAUGACACUUGGUUUCUACCAAAGGUAUCAUGAUUGAAAGUCUUCGCUAAGCCCUCGGGAAGCAUCUGAAAUCUCGUAUACACAAAUGAGCUAUGACACCCUAUCAAAUUAAAAAUAAAUAGACUCAAUGGCAUAGUUUAAAUUUCUAUUUGAGGUCAUUUUGACAAAAAUUGGGUCCCACACUCAAUUUUCAUUUUCUUUACUUUUCUACCAAUAGGUCAAAAUAAGCUCAGGUGCCUUUAGACCAAAAACAAGGGUCCACCUAGCCUAAAAUUAGUAUUCUAGAGCUGUUGAAACUGUAAGAAUUUAAAUAUAAGAAUUUUUGACUGAAGUGUUUUUUGGUAGCCAAUUUGAACGAACAAAGACUUCAUAAUAAGGAAUUGACACUCAAAACCAAACGAACUACCUGAUAACCAAACUACCAAUCCCAGCAAGUCAUAAAUGACUUAGGUAGCUUUAGGAAAGUGCUAACAAUAAUAAUAAGUGGAAAUAUGGGAAAUGACCUGGAGGGUCAUUACACUCUUCUUGUUUAUUUUAUGUUUUGUUUUCGUAUUCAGAGAUAUGCUUUUCUCUUUUUAUACUAUCAGUUAUACAUUUUAACUUUGAAAUGUACUUAGUUUUCUCUUACAUUGUGAAACCAGAUUUUAGAGUGAUUUAUGGUAUCUUUAUUAUGUGUUUUUCCACUAUUAUUGUAUAUGUCUGAUUCAACUUUACUCUAGAAGCCUUAACUUGGGUUUUGUUUUUGUUUUUAUUUCUUCAUAUUAGUUUGGGUGAUUGACUUAUUUGUCAAGGCUCAUCGCGAGAAGUGUCAUCAUGACACUUAGUUUUUAGGUGGUGACAAAUUGGUAUCAGAGCAACCAUUUUCAUUGGUCUCAUCAGUUUAAGAAUAGGGUGUCUAUUAGAGUCUCAUAGAUUGGUAUAUAGAUAUCCGUAUCUAUCUUUGAAGGGCUAUAAUAUAUCUUUAGUAAACCUCCCUUAUUUUGUUCCUUAUCAUAAGGAUUCUUUCAUUCCCUAUAUUCUACAUUGAGUUUUACUUUUUUUAAUGCAGAGGGUGAGGACUAGAUCACGUGAGUCUUGAGAUGCAAAGCCAUCAUUCAAGGAGAGAGCCCAGUCUAGGGGUGAGUUAUGGGUCAUGGACAAGAUCGAGGAUAUUCCCCAUCCAAAGGUAGUACUAGAGGGAUCUCCCCUGAGCCUUAGGUUAAGCAUGCUGGAGAGAUGGGGCCUUCUUAGGUUGCACAAAGUUCUUCCAUCCCAAUCUUAGAGAGGUUAGUAAUUCAUUUUUUGACUUAUUUGGAGGGUGUUCCUAAGAGUGCACCUGAUGGUCCUCUAACUUUGAGUAUCAUACCCUCGUCUAUGCUAGAGUCUACCUAUUAUGUUCCUCCAAUUUUGAGUGUGGAUCCUCUAGUGUUACCCAUAUCUAUUUAUGGUAUUUUUAAAACUUAGAGAGUUAUUCCUCUUUUUAUACCGAUAUUCAAGUAUGGUAUUUUGAGAUCAGGGGUUCAACCUUUAUCUAUGUUACCCCCUUAGGUGGGAUCUCAGCCAGCUAAAUUCACUAUGCUUCCUAUUAUUAUGUGUAUAAUUAUGUCUUUGGAGAAUCAAAAGAAGUUUGAGAUAUUCACUCAUUUGGGUUCACACAGGUUUGGUGGUGCUGUAAGCAAGGAUGCCU
Molecule: long non-coding RNA, 43358 nt
Filed under: Capsicum annuum
Lineage: Eukaryota; Viridiplantae; Streptophyta; Magnoliopsida; Solanales; Solanaceae
Description: long non-coding RNA (CANN_LNC020266)
Source: RNAcentral